UGGGGAAUAUUGCGCAAUGGGCGAAACCCUGACCCAGCAACGCCGCGUGAAGGAUGAAGUAUUUCGGUAUGUAAACUUCGAAAGAAUAGGAAGAAUAAAUGACGGUACUAUUUAUAAGGUCCGGCUAACUACGUGCCAGCAGCCGCGGUAAUACGUAGGGACCAAGCGUUGUUCGGAUUUACUGGGCGUAAAGGGCGCGUAGGCGGCAUGACAAGUCACUUGUGAAAUCUCUGGGCUUAACCCAGAACGGCCAAGUGAUACUGUCGCGCUAGAGUGCAGAAGGGGCAAUCGGAAUUCUUGGUGUAGCGGUGAAAUGCGUAGAUAUCAAGAGGAACACCUGAGGUGAAGACGGGUUGCUGGGCUGACACUGACGCUGAGGCGCGAAAGCCAGGGGAGCAAACGGGAUUAGAUACCCCAGUAGUCCCUGAGCGGGCUGGCAAGGCGCAU
RNAcentral lists this ribosomal RNA (447 nucleotides) under uncultured bacterium. RNAcentral describes it as "bacterial SSU rRNA". It matches the Rfam family "Bacterial small subunit ribosomal RNA", at positions 355 to 825 of the family's 1533-position model. The record is from RNAcentral.